UGGGGAAUCUUAGGCAAUGGGCGCAAGCCUGAUCUAGCCAUGCCGCGUGAGCGAUGAAGGCCUUAGGGUUGUAAAGCUCUUUCAGGGGGGAAGAUAAUGACUGUACCCCCAGAAGAAGCCCCGGCUAACUCCGUG
Molecule: ribosomal RNA, 135 nt
Filed under: bacterium 081621
Lineage: Bacteria
Description: partial 16S rRNA
Rfam family: Bacterial small subunit ribosomal RNA
Source: RNAcentral